GCAACAUCAGGUUGCUUUCUGUGUUAGAUAUCUCCAACUCCAAGCUGCUGAGCUUGAAAUUCCUGAAAGUCCUCUGGGAUGGUGUCUGAAAACAACAAAAUAUGCAAAGGGCAUGUGAUCACCAUGGGCUGCAUUGAAAGCAGUGAUCAAUCCAGCAGGGAUCCUAUACUAUGCAAAACACAAUAAACUGACCAUCAAGCACUCAUCCAUCGACUCCAACACUCCACCAAAACAAGAAAGGUGCAUGGAGUUGACAGGAGAACGUCAGCUGCUGACUUACCACGGCGAAGAUACCAUGGGCACAGGUUACCAUCCCAUCAUUCUUGGAAACUAGGACUAAAGUAUUCGGUCUUAGAGAUACCUAAGAGCUGGUGACAAACAUCCUCUCUAAGGCAACGUCUACACUACAGCAUAUGUCAGCAUAACAUAUGUCGCUCAGGACUCUGAAUAAACACCCCUGAGCAAUGUAAUUUUCACUGGUGUGGACUGGACUCUCUUGGCGGAAGAGCUGCUGCUGCUUGUGGGGCAGGCGUAGUUAACCCGUGCCUUAACACACAGUACUUGCUGGGUGAGUUUAAAGAAUAACAGAGAUGUUAAGCGAAGAUCU
Non-coding RNA from Pelodiscus sinensis (Chinese soft-shelled turtle), 607 nucleotides. The record is from RefSeq and is a predicted model, not a curated record. NCBI's taxonomy places the organism in Eukaryota, Metazoa, Chordata, Testudines, Trionychidae.